RNAcentral lists this transfer RNA (107 nucleotides) under Candidatus Caldarchaeum subterraneum. Its description in RNAcentral is "Candidatus Caldiarchaeum subterraneum (hot springs metagenome) tRNA-Arg". It matches the Rfam family "tRNA". Rfam says of the family: Transfer RNA (tRNA) molecules are approximately 80 nucleotides in length. Their secondary structure includes four short double-helical elements and three loops (D, anti-codon, and T loops). Further hydrogen bonds mediate the characteristic L-shaped molecular structure. tRNAs have two regions of fundamental functional importance: the anti-codon, which is responsible for specific mRNA codon recognition, and the 3' end, to which the tRNAs corresponding amino acid is attached (by aminoacyl-tRNA synthetases). tRNAs cope with the degeneracy of the genetic code in two manners: having more than one tRNA (with a specific anti-codon) for a particular amino acid; and 'wobble' base-pairing, i.e. permitting non-standard base-pairing at the 3rd anti-codon position. RNAcentral also lists the same sequence under 1 other name. Lineage: Archaea; Thermoproteati; Nitrososphaerota; Candidatus Caldarchaeales; Candidatus Caldarchaeaceae. The record is from RNAcentral.
GGGCCCGUAGCUCAGUAUGGAUAGAGAGAAAUACACCAUAAGAGUGUAUUUCCUGGUUCGUCGGCCUCCGGAGCCGAAGGCCGUGGGUUCAAGUCCCACCGGGCCCG